RNAcentral lists this long non-coding RNA (925 nucleotides) under Olea europaea subsp. europaea. The record is from RNAcentral. Lineage: Eukaryota; Viridiplantae; Streptophyta; Magnoliopsida; Lamiales; Oleaceae.
CUCAAAUCAAUAUGCUUUAAAUUCAAACCGUAAAACAAGUCUAUGUAGUUGAAACUAUGAAGGAAUAAAUGCCUCAACAAAGGUCUAGAAAUUGUUGAGAAAUGCCAUCUUAUAUUUUCCAUGGCAUCUUCUUGACAUUGCCAUAAAAAAUGCCCAAUUGAGCCAUUCCAACCCAUAUUCAAAAUUCAAAAUGGUACAGACCUUUAACCAAUAACAAAUAAAUAAAACGACCAUUCAUUCUACAUUUCAAUUGAAAAAAAAAAAAAAAAAAGAUGCACUCAUACAUACAAUUAAGCAAACACAUCAUUGGAAUUAAUUACCUCAAUUGUGUCAAAUGAUUCCAACCAAGAAUAAACAGGCUUCCAUUCAGGCGGCUACAGCAAAUGAUUGAUCUUUUAAUAAGCCAAAAUAUGGUAGUAGUCGAUCUUAGUGGUGAAACAAUUUCAAGGAAAUAGACAAAUAGAGGUUUUGAGUUUAGAAAUAGCAACCCUAAUUUACCACAUAUUCUCUUGACAUCUUCUUCGCUUUAGCAAUCAGCACUGGUAUCACUGGGGCUCUACCAUCUCAUUUGCACCACCAAAAACCAUCUCAAGUCCCCACACGAUUAAAUCACUAAACUUUCUCAUCCUUUCCCUUUCUCUUCUUCGUCAAAACGAUUGUUUAAGUAUCUCCAUCUCUAUUUGAUUAUCCUCUGUCUCUUCAUUGCCUUGGUCAACCAACUCCUCAUUUCAUCUGAGGCUGACCCCCUUCUCAAUGGUUGGACCCUUGCUCACCGCUUCACUCCCUCCAAGUCGUUGCGUUUCUCCUCUGCUUUUCUCAUUUUGGACAACGGAGGAGAACUCCUGGGCUUUGCUCAGGGGAUUAGCAUAAUUAAAAAAAAAAAAAAAAAAAAGCCUUUGGAGAUGGGCCCAAAAGUUCAUGCCUG